ACUCAUCUUAAAAGCUCGUUUCUUGUAAGGAUGUUGAGCUGCGGACUUAUUCUUUUCCAGAGAAUUGGUUUCAGAAUUAGGUUGAGUAUCUUUGAAUGAAAAGAUUGUAUCCUUGUUUGCUAUAGCAGUUGACUCGCUCGAAUGUCCAUUUUGUUUAAUUUCACUUUGCUUUGAUUCUCUGGGAUUGGGAGAGAGAAUUUUAGACCAAUUCUCCAACUUAUAGCUAUCCUGUGCGCUCUGCAGCAGUUUGGGUGAAUCCAAAUCCUCCAAACUUCUAAGAGCUCGUCCAUGAAGCAUGUUCUGUGUCAAUUUAUUCUCUUUCCCUGCAGCUAGUUUGGAUUCUGAUGAUUUUCCCUUUGGAGUUAUCUUUUCAAGUUGCUCCAAUAUCUUGGCAGCAGUCUCACUGGACUUAGGAGGGAUGGCUACAUGCCUUGCAGGCGUGAUUUUGGCAUUUUCGACAUCUCCAACAACUUUUGAUACCUCUGGAUGCAGGUUAACUGCAGAAGCAACCCUUGCGCUGGCACGUGAAGUUCCAAAAGAUAGGGCAUUAGGUUUCUGCCUAAUCCUACGCAUGGGACCAACAGAUCCAAGAUCAUCAUCCAGGACAUAACUCCUUCGUUUGAGGGCCUGAAAGAGUUAAAAAUUAAAUAAACAAUUAAGGAACAGAAAGAAGUGAAAAGGAUAAGCUCAUUUGAUAAUAACACAGGCUCACAAUGCAAAUGAGUUCAGAAUAAUAACAUAGUAAUCUGUAAUAAACACCUGCUUAGAACCAAAAAGUACAUCGUGCUCGGACACUGGCUUAGAUGAUGAAGAC
RNAcentral lists this long non-coding RNA (814 nucleotides) under Solanum tuberosum (potato). RNAcentral's name for it is "long non-coding RNA (STUB_LNC010492)". The record is from RNAcentral. Lineage: Eukaryota; Viridiplantae; Streptophyta; Magnoliopsida; Solanales; Solanaceae.